RNAcentral lists this transfer RNA (65 nucleotides) under Marmota monax (woodchuck). RNAcentral's name for it is "tRNA.Ala". Lineage: Eukaryota; Metazoa; Chordata; Mammalia; Rodentia; Sciuridae. The record is from RNAcentral.
GGUUGGCUCAGCGGUAGAGUGCUCGCCUAGCAUGUGCGAGGCCCUGAGUUUGAUCCUCAGCACCA